UACGUAGGGGGCAAGCGUUGUCCGGAAUCAUUGGGCGUAAAGAGCGUGUAGGCGGCCCGGUAAGUCGGCUGUGAAAGUCCAGGGCUCAACCCUGGGAUGCCGGUGGAUACUGUCGGGCUCGAGUCCGGAAGAGGAGUGUGGAAUUCCUGGUGUAGCGGUGAAAUGCGCAGAUAUCAGGAGGAACACCAAUGGCGAAGGCAGCACUCUGGGACGUGACUGACGCUGAGACGCGAAAGCGUGGGGAGCAAACAGG
RNAcentral lists this ribosomal RNA (253 nucleotides) under uncultured bacterium. Its description in RNAcentral is "partial 16S ribosomal RNA". It matches the Rfam family "Bacterial small subunit ribosomal RNA", at positions 524 to 776 of the family's 1533-position model. The record is from RNAcentral.